AGCUUGCUCUCUGGGUGGCGAGUGGCGGACGGGUGAGGAAUACAUCGGAAUCUACUCUGUCGUGGGGGAUAACGUAGGGAAACUUACGCUAAUACCGCAUACGACCUACGGGUGAAAGCAGGGGAUCUUCGGACCUUGCGCGAUUGAAUGAGCCGAUGUCGGAUUAGCUAGUUGGCGGGGUAAAGGCCCACCAAGGCGACGAUCCGUAGCUGGUCUGAGAGGAUGAUCAGCCACACUGGAACUGAGACACGGUCCAGACUCCUACGGGAGGCAGCAGUGGGGAAUAUUGGACAAUGGGCGCAAGCCUGAUCCAGCCAUACCGCGUGGGUGAAGAAGGCCUUCGGGUUGUAAAGCCCUUUUGUUGGGAAAGAA
Molecule: ribosomal RNA, 372 nt
Filed under: Stenotrophomonas maltophilia
Lineage: Bacteria; Pseudomonadati; Pseudomonadota; Gammaproteobacteria; Lysobacterales; Lysobacteraceae
Description: bacterial SSU rRNA
Rfam family: Bacterial small subunit ribosomal RNA
Source: RNAcentral